Molecule: transfer RNA, 54 nt
Filed under: Hexamermis agrotis
Lineage: Eukaryota; Metazoa; Nematoda; Enoplea; Mermithida; Mermithidae
Description: tRNA-Asn
Source: RNAcentral
AUAAAAAUAUUAAGUGUUAAUGUGAAAUUGUUAAUUUCAUGUAAUUUACUUAGA